RNAcentral lists this long non-coding RNA (676 nucleotides) under Capsella grandiflora. RNAcentral's name for it is "long non-coding RNA (CGRA_LNC000380)". The record is from RNAcentral. Lineage: Eukaryota; Viridiplantae; Streptophyta; Magnoliopsida; Brassicales; Brassicaceae.
GCCUUUAGAAAAUCCCUAAAAAUUCAUAGUGUGAUACAUAGAUAAUUUUCAUAACCAUAGAAAAGUAAGUUUCCAGACUUCAAAUAUCAAAUAGCGAUAAAAGGUGUUGGAAGGUGAUAAGUCAAUGGUUAUUUUUCUGAUACACCUCAUUUUGUGCCUACAAAAAAGAUUCAAGUUUUUUGAGUCAUACCAAUAAUAACCAAGUUUUAAAGCGAAAAAGUUAAACAUAGACGAGAUUAACAUUAACCUUUAUUGCCUUAAAGAGUUCUACAGCGAGGUAUUUCACUUCUGGAUUAGAACGAAGCAAUUUGUCAGGAUGAAGAAAAAGUAUGCCUUUUUCAGUGAUGAUUUGAUUCCUUCUUUGUGACUCACAUCAGUGAAAAAGAGUUUUUUCCAUUUAUUCCCAGGCUAAAGAAUCUGAUGUCAAAUAUGAUUUAGAAAAGAUUCGAAUUGUAAUGCAAACUUCCAAAAUUAUUAGAACUGAAACAUAUAACAUUAAAACUUACUUCUUCCGGUGUCGAAAGCAUUACUACUAUAUCUUUACUUCUUGCCCAUGUUUUGACUUUCAAGUCGAUUCGUUCCAUUUCUUCUAUACUUAGUUCUUUCACUUGAGUUAAAGGAGUUUGAACUGAUACAAACAAAACACAAAUUGAAGAUGUAAUUUCUCGAGGCACAU